RNAcentral lists this ribosomal RNA (468 nucleotides) under uncultured bacterium. RNAcentral describes it as "partial 16S ribosomal RNA". It matches the Rfam family "Bacterial small subunit ribosomal RNA", at positions 28 to 507 of the family's 1533-position model. The record is from RNAcentral.
GACGAACGCUGGCGGCGUGCUUAACACAUGCAAGUCGAACGGAAAGGCCCUGCUUUUGUGGGGUGCUCGAGUGGCGAACGGGUGAGUAACACGUGAGUAACCUGCCCUUGACUUUGGGAUAACUUCAGGAAACUGGGGCUAAUACCGGAUAGGAGCUCCUGCUGCAUGGUGGGGGUUGGAAAGUUUCGGCGGUUGGGGAUGGACUCGCGGCUUAUCAGCUUGUUGGUGGGGUAGUGGCUUACCAAGGCUUUGACGGGUAGCCGGCCUGAGAGGGUGACCGGCCAAAAUGGGACUGAGAUACGGCCCAGACUCCUAAGGGAGGCAGCAGUGGGGAAUAUUGCAAAAUGGGCGGAAGCCUGAAGCAGGAACGCCGCGGGCGGGAUGAAGGCCUUCGGGUUGGAAACCGCUUUCGCCUGUGACGAAGCGUGAGUGACGGUAAUGGGUAAAGAAGCACCGGCUAACUACGUG